This 484-nucleotide ribosomal RNA is filed under the name uncultured bacterium. RNAcentral's name for it is "partial 16S ribosomal RNA". It matches the Rfam family "Bacterial small subunit ribosomal RNA", at positions 30 to 507 of the family's 1533-position model. The record is from RNAcentral.
AUUGAACGCUGGCGGCAGGCCUAACACAUGCCAGUCGAGCGGAUGAAGGGAGCUUGCUCCUGGAUUCAGCGGCGGACGGGUGAGUAAUGCCUAUGAAUCUGCCUGUGAGUGGGGGAUAACGUCCGGAAACGGGCGCUAAUACCGCAUACGUCCUGAGGGAGAAAGUGGGGGAUCUUCGGACCUCACGCUAUCAGAUGAGCCUAGGUCGGAUUAGCUAGUUGGUGGGGUAAAGGCCUACCAAGGCGACGAUCCGUAACUGGUCUGAGAGGAUGAUCAGUCACACUGGAACUGAGACACGGUCCAGACUCCUACGGGAGGCAGCAGUGGGGAAUAUUGGACAAUGGGCGAAAGCCUGAUCCAGCCAUGCCGCGUGUGUGAAGAAGGUCUUCGGAUUGUAAAGCACUUUAAGUUGGGAGGAAGGGCAGUAAGUUAAUACCUUGCUGUUUUGACGUUACCAACAGAAUAAGCACCGGCUAACUUCGUG